GAUGGAGAAGGGCGCAGUGGCGGCGUGCCAAGAAAACGCAGCAGAAUACCGCCUUUUUCCCGGCCGAGUACCGCCAAGGUAAACAAGGGGAAGGAAUGAUCUCAGAUUCCCAAAACCCUAAAACAAUAAAAGAAAAGUUAGGGUUUGGUAGAUAGGGAGAAGCCCGCCACCCCUUUCUUUCCAUCUCCUUUUUCCUCUCUCUUCCGGUCUGCAACCCUGGGGGGAGGAACUUCGAGAUCGAACUACUGGAGUUGGGGGUCAUGGCCGGAAUGGAGGUCGAUUCACCGCCGGAGCGGAAUUCUCCCCCGUCGCCCCGAGAUCGCAUCGUCCAGGCACGACUGCAUAAUCUCUCUCUCU
This 357-nucleotide long non-coding RNA is filed under the name Phoenix dactylifera (date palm). RNAcentral's name for it is "long non-coding RNA (PDAC_LNC013552)". Lineage: Eukaryota; Viridiplantae; Streptophyta; Magnoliopsida; Arecales; Arecaceae. The record is from RNAcentral.